CAACCAAGGGUCCGGAAACGGUCAUAUAUGCCAGUCUUGACCUAAACUGAAAGUAGUUUGUCCUAAAUGAGUAAUUGGAAUUUAGGACAAAUUUUAUUUUUUUACAGAAAUAAUUUCGGUCAUUCAAUGUCAUUUCGUCAGAUCGAGUUUCUAACAUUGUCUAAAUCGCCAUUUUGAACUUAUUUUUUGUUAUUAUCCUUUUCCUGUAAUAAAACUGCCACUCCAGUAAAGUGUUAUAAUCCUGAGGGCCCUCCUAAUAACUAUAGUAAUGCCUCCGGGAAAUAUUGGCUAAUGAUCGCUGAUCUCUUUACCUGUGUUUUUAAUUAAAUUUUUUAUUGAUCACGAGCUCAGAACUAAUAUUUUAAAGAAAUUAAAAGUUCAUAACAACUGUCUGCAUUAUUUAAUUACUUUUCUCAGCUUAGACAAUUGUCAAUUCUGAUUUAAAAUUAAAUUAAAAUUAAAUUAAUUUAGUACGUAGAACAAAAUAUUGUUUCACUACAAACACACGUGCUUUGUUUACUAAUACGCAUGCUUGAAAUUCUCUUCCGCAAAUUAGACACUAAAUCGUAAAUUAAAAAUGAUUUCAUGCUAAAUUAAACAAGUCCAACUAUUAUAAUUAAUAUUCAAACACUAUUAAAGGUAAAACAGUUAAAAAGCCGACGAUUUCCUGUGAAUUUGAUAAACAAAACUAAUCCCGGAAAUGAGUCCGGAAUUGGUCGUUUUACUAUUGUCGUAAAACAUCCGGUUAUAAUUUUGUCUUCAAAAUCGAAACAAACGUAAGCGAAGUUUGAGAAAUUUAUCGUUUUGAGUCAUUAAAAUCAUUUCAUUUUUAAACUGGUGCCUUCCUUUUAUUGCUCAAGAUCGAUUUUAAGGAACAUGGUAGGGAAAUUUCUGAAGUAAAUGCGAUGCAACAGUUAAACAAGUUCGUUGAUGCUACGAGUAUGAACUGUAUGAGCAUACACACAAUCUUUGUUUAAAAAGGGCACCAACUUUUAAGUUAUCCCAAAAUGACCGAAAUUAGGUGAAAAAAUUUCCGGAUCCUUGGCAGCAACCAUUUGAUUUUCUGGGGGGGGGCUAUGGUUUUUUUUUCUGUGCAAACUUUUUUUUUCGCCUGCGGCGAAAAACAAUUUAUUUUUUUCGCGACAAGUCGAAAACAAUUUUUUUCUUUCAAUUUUAGCAUUACAUAUAGUGGCAGCUGAGGGUGAAACAAACAAUUUUUUUUUCUCAGAAUCAAAAACAAAUUAUUUUUUUCUCCAAAAACUGGAAACAAACUUUUUUUUCCAAAAAAA
RNAcentral lists this long non-coding RNA (1289 nucleotides) under Mytilus galloprovincialis (Mediterranean mussel). Lineage: Eukaryota; Metazoa; Mollusca; Bivalvia; Mytilida; Mytilidae. The record is from RNAcentral.